CCUACGGGAGGCAGCAGUGAGGAAUAUUGGGCAAUGGGCGCGAGCCGGAACCAGCCAAGUAGCGUGAAGGAUGACUGCCCUAUGGGUUGUAAACUUCUGUUAUAGGGGAAUAAAGUGCAGUAUGUAUACUGCUUUGCAUGUACCUUAUGAAUAAGGAUCGGCUAACUCCGUGCCAGCAGCCGCGGUAAUACGGAGGAUCCGAGCGUUAUCCGGAUUUAGUGGGUUUAAAGGGAGCGUAGGCGGGUUGUUAAGUCAGUUGGGAAAGUUUGCGGCUCAACCGUAAAAUUGCAGUUGAUACUGGCAUCCUUGAGUACAGUAGAGGUCGGCGGACUUCGUGGUGUAGCGGUGCACUGCUUAGCUCUCCC
This 365-nucleotide ribosomal RNA is filed under the name uncultured bacterium. RNAcentral describes it as "partial 16S ribosomal RNA". It matches the Rfam family "Bacterial small subunit ribosomal RNA", at positions 338 to 700 of the family's 1533-position model. The record is from RNAcentral.